This is a long non-coding RNA of Dreissena polymorpha, 2152 nucleotides long. RefSeq lists it as uncharacterized. The transcript is spliced from 2 exons. NCBI's taxonomy places the organism in Eukaryota, Metazoa, Mollusca, Bivalvia, Myida, Dreissenidae. The record is from RefSeq and is a predicted model, not a curated record.
GGGACGCUGCCGGGCACGACAGUAUCCGGGUAGGAUCCAUGCAGAAAAUGUCAUCGAUUAUAAUAAUUUUUUGGAUUUGCCCUGACUCUAAGAGAAAAGAUUUCGGCACUUAAAAUACAAAUAUAACAACUGAGGGGAUCACCUUGACGACAGCCACGAUGUUUUUUGAAAAACUCAGAUAACGACCCGCACUGUGUGACGGCUGAGAUGCAAUCCUUAUAUAGAACAUUAAACCAUUUGCCUAUGUCAGGAUCAAAAUUUGAUGAGACGAGUGUUUUGUUAACGCACUUCCAUGACAAUGAAUUGAAGGCCUUUUUAAAAUUUAUAAGCAGGAGGAGACCAGGAAUAUUAUUUUCUUCAGUGUACCGCAAAAGGUCAUUUUCCGUUUCUAGAUGGCAACAUCCCUAAAGGACCUUCCUAUGGUAUUUACAUUUCGCAGUUGGUACGUUAUGCCAGAGCAUGUUCGUGUAUUAAAGAUUUUAAUGAUCGUAAUCUAAUAUUAACUAAAAAAUUGCUAAAACAAGGCUUUUUGUAUCAUAACCUAAGAAAUAAAUUUGCUAGAUUUUACUCUAAGUAUGGUGAUUUAAUUUCAAAAUAUAAUGUUUCUUUAAAAUGGCAUUUAAAUAAUGGAAUCUCCCAUCCAUCAUUUUACGGAGAUGUUUUGAAGCGUGUCCGCAAAUUAAAAUAUGUUAAACCAAAUGUUCAUAUUAAACUUUUCAAUUUAAUUAACUUGUUUUUAUCAAAAGGAUACGAUGCUUAUGUACUUAAAAACACGUGUUUGAUGGUUUUCGAUUCACUAUAUCUUUCCUCCCUUAAAAUUUGGAAUCAUUAGUGAUAUUAUAGGCAUUUUUCACUGUUGAUUAAAAUUGUGUCAUUGUGUCGUAUGAACAAAUCUGCAUGAAUACUACAUUAUAGGCAUUUUUCACUGUUGAAUAAAAUUGUGUCAUUGUGUCGUAUGAACAAAUCUGCAUGUAAACUACAUUUGGACUCAAAUCGUACAUCAAAUCAUUUCUGUCUUCAGUUGUCAAAAUACCUAUAUACUGUUUGAUUCCAAUAAUGUCGCUUUAAUGGAAUUACCAUUUUUAUUCAUUUGCUUCUUUAUAUUAAAUCACCUAAACUUGUUUUAUUAGUAGCACAGCCCCAUUAAUAUUUUUAUUUAGUACUGCCCUUGGAAUUUGUUCACGUCAUUAUGGAUUUUUGUGACGUCAUACGACCGACUUUUCCAGUUGUAAUCUACAUGCAUAGGUCAUUGGGUUUAUAACGUUCCAUUUUAUUUAUAUUUUCUCUCUGAUAGGCGUUUCUUGUUUGAUUUAAUUAUUUUUAAUUUGUUUAGCAGUCACAUAAACAACCAAGCUAUGUAAUAUGGAAUUUUUACACCCAUUAUUGCUGCUUCUUCCUGUAUUUGCGCGAUGAUUAUCUGAGAUAUUAACUAUAUGAUUCUAUAUUCUCAAAUCUUUUCUAUAAAGAAGGAAUGUAGUUUACAAUUGUUAAUAGUUUUAUUUGAUCGUUCGUCAAAAAGUUGUUAUUCUGUUACUCUUGUAUCUUCAAUGCAAUUGAGUAAUUAAAUAGUAAUUAAAUUGAAUGCGUUUUAAUUCCCUUUUAUUAUUGUUUAAUUUGAGUUAUAAUGCUAUGACGUUAAAUUUUAUUUACACUUAAAUGUAUUAUGAAUAUUGCUGGGCCAAGUGUGAGGUUGAGAGCUCUAUAACCAGGUUUAAACCCCCAAUGCUUUGCAUUGACCGUUCCAAGGCGGUGAUCCCAGCUUUAUUCAUAUUUUGUGUUUAUGUUGGUUUGUAUUGUGCUGUUUUGUACUGUUUGGGCAAUCGGUCACUUGCCUUAAAUAAAGGACCAACUAAUUGUUUUUAAUGAAAAUUCAAUACUGCUCCAGCAGCUGGAGUUUCACUUCUUUAUAUAGAUCAGUCUAGUAUUUUCACUUAUGCACCUUCCUUUAAUAAAAUCAGUUUGGUCAUUAUCAAGGAGCGUGUUGAUAUAUUUUGUUAAUCUGUUAGCAAUAGUUUCAGAACUAAUUUUGUAAACAGUGUUAUUGGACGCCAGUUUUUUUUAUUUUCUGGGUUUAUCGCCCUUAGGUUAAAUUUUAGUUUUUUGUAUACAAUAAGUAGUUAACAUGUGAAAAUAAAUGUUAAUAUUAAAACGA